ACACUAGAGUAACUCCGGUCUUCAAGGGU
Molecule: small RNA, 29 nt
Filed under: Bombyx mori (domestic silkworm)
Lineage: Eukaryota; Metazoa; Arthropoda; Insecta; Lepidoptera; Bombycidae
Description: ovarian small RNA-11059
Source: RNAcentral